Anolis carolinensis (green anole) is the source of this 2711-nucleotide long non-coding RNA. RefSeq lists it as uncharacterized. NCBI's taxonomy places the organism in Eukaryota, Metazoa, Chordata, Lepidosauria, Squamata, Anolidae. The record is from RefSeq and is a predicted model, not a curated record. The transcript has 7 exons.
AGUGACGUCAGAGACCUCCCUAAAAGGGAGGGGGUACUCGUUGGAAUCUUCCAUUCCUGCAGGGAGGGAGGGGGCGUGUUGGCCUCUACCAACUGUGAGUCAGGGAAGCUUUAUUUAUAAAAAGCAGUCAAGGAAGCGGGAGUUGUUGUUACCCAUCUUAAAGCAGUUUGGCACCAUUUUAACAACACCGGCUCAAUGCUGUAGAAAUCUGGGAUUUGUAUUUUUGUGAGAUGUUCAACCUUCUCUAUCAUGCAGAUUCUGUGUCAUCUAUCAAUCUGUAAUAAAUGAGACUAAAGAUUUCCUUCCUUGCUGAAGUUUAUCUGCUCCAAAUCAAUAGUCAUACUUGACAAUAAUCUGAAAAAGAAAUAUAUAAGUACAUCCUUGGAUAUGUAUCAAAAGAAAGACAUAGACAAACACCUGAAGCUUUGAAUCGGGUAAGAUAUGUUCUCUUAAAAUAUUUUUAUUAAGUCUUAAAUAUUCACUGGACUAAACAUUUUGGGACAAGGAAAGCAUAAAAUAAUAUGCAAGCAUCUUUCAACACAAUUAUGCCAUCAGCUUAACAUAUCACAACAAAACCCAGGAAGGAACAGGCAAGCAACGCUAUAUCAUAUAAGCCAAUAUAUUCUUUCCGUAGUUACAAAGAUGAGCAUUUACAAGAAGAAAAAAAACCCUCCUAUAGCAAGCAUGGCCGCUAGGAGGCAUUUCUUAAUACACAGUUAAACAUUUUAAAAGUGAAAUGUACCCAAGCCUAGAUAAUGGCUGCCUUUGAAAUUAACCUUGGACACAAUUUUUAAAAGAGAGUUAUUUAGAGGUACAGGAUCACUAAAACCCUUCAGGGGUUUUUUUUUGUAUAAUAUACAUUUCUUAACAUAGUUGUGCUGGAUUCUCCAAACACCAGGAACAUGUCCUGCUGUAUGUGUUCCUUAAUUUAAACAGAAGAGGAAAAGCUCUGCUUCACUUCAUGUUAAUAGCACCGACAUUUGUUCUCUUAGAGUGCACCUACACUGUAGAGUUAAUUCAGCUUGACACCUUUAAUGGCCAGGGCUCAAGGCUAUGGAAUUAUGGGAGUUGUUGUUUUACAAGACCUUUAGACUUUUCUGCCAAAGAAUGUUGACGCCUCAUCAAGCAAAAAAUCACAGGUUUCCAUUGAUAGUUAAAAGUGAUGUCAAACUGCAUUAAUUCUACAUUGUAGAUGCACCUUCCAUCAUAUUUGUCAAUACUGGUCAGAACCACAAUUUUCAUCAGGUGGAUGUGUUUUGUUUUGUCCACUGCUGUAGCAAAUAGAAUUCUUUUAUAUGGUGUCAACUUUGUUAUUCAUCCAAGAUCUUGCAUUUUCAUUUCCUAUAAGAGACUCCCUAACAAUUUAAGAGAUUAAAAAACAGUGGAUAAUUUGAAGUGAUUCAGACUGCUACAUCAGUGAAUAAAGUGUUUCAUAAAACACCCUGUGGUAGUAAUAAUGUGGUGUAAAACUAAGGUAAUAAGGCUGCACACUAAGGCAGGUAUAUUGUUGCACUUUCUGGAAGCUGGAUUGCUCAAUUUUGUAAAUAUAAGAUUACAAAACUUGUGCGCAGCCAUCCUUAGGCAGGUCUUACAUAUCUGCUAUUCCUUUAUAUUCAUAAAAACAAUAUUAUUUGCCUGUUUCCUGUCCAUAUUAUCAAGAGGUAGUUAUAAACUGACCCUUAUCACCAUGUAACUUUCAGAUGGAGGGAGAGGCAAUGAAGAAGGUUAUUACAAAUGUAAGCAGAGUCAGCUGGCAAGAUCUCCAAGAUUCAACUUGAGAUGUGCUAGGUGCCAUAAUGGACUGGAUGAGGAUCAAUGAACUGAAGCUGAAUCUUUAUAAGACAGGAGUUCUGUGGAUUGGUGGCUCUUGAGUCCAGCAACUGAUUAAACAUCAUGCUGUAAAUGGGGCUGACUCCCCCUGAAAGCACAGGAUGUCACAGGCUGCAAUGGUCUUUGUUCCUUGAAUCUGGAGUGGCUUGUGCAGAAUGUUAUCAUACAUCUGAGACACAUCCCGGCUGUAAAAUGGAGGCUGGUCACAGAGAACCACGAGGAAGAAGAAGGAAAGUGGGACAAAAGAUGAUAUUCAGCGAAUGGAGGUACCCAACUGCACUGGCCAUUUCAGCUGCAUAGAAACGAGCUCGGGGCUCUCGGAAGCAACGCUCUCUUUGCAAGUGGAAGAAAAGCUAUAAACAGAGAUGCACAAAGCUGGAUCAUAGGGCUUUUCCAUAUGAAGGUCUCCAAAACAGCAGUUUGCAGCUGAUAAAACUUCACUGAUGGCCAACCAAGAUCCUGAUUGGAACAGGUACAAACCGUGCAUCCUGCUUCAAGUUCCAGUGGAUUCAAAUGGCCUGUGAAUCCAGUUGGAUAUUCCAGUGACUUUGCCAUUUGGUUUUUAUUCCAGUCAAGACCCUUGCCUUGUGUUUCAUCAUUGCCUUUAUACCUUGGACUACCUUGGAGUUAAUCCUGCACUCUAGUCUUGUUUUCUUUAAUUCAGCCCUUGGAAAUAAUCCUGUUUGGACUAUUCUUGAUAUCUCUGGGGAUUUACUUUGAUAUCCAGUUUUGGACUAUGCUCUUUGAGUGGUUUUUAUAGACUCUUACUUCAUGAACUUCAAGUACCUUGCUCUUGUGGAUUUAAACCUAGUUUACUGACUCUGAACUUUAUUUUGCUUUUGUUUGCAUAUAACCUUCAAUAAACAACUUGCUUGCUUAUA